This 449-nucleotide ribosomal RNA is filed under the name Microbacterium sp. RX22. Its description in RNAcentral is "bacterial SSU rRNA". It matches the Rfam family "Bacterial small subunit ribosomal RNA", at positions 8 to 455 of the family's 1533-position model. Lineage: Bacteria; Bacillati; Actinomycetota; Actinomycetes; Micrococcales; Microbacteriaceae. The record is from RNAcentral.
AGAGUUUGAUCCUGGCUCAGGAUGAACGCUGGCGGCGUGCUUAACACAUGCAAGUCGAACGGUGAACACGGAGCUUGCUCUGUGGGAUCAGUGGCGAACGGGUGAGUAACACGUGAGCAACCUGCCCCUGACUCUGGGAUAAGCGCUGGAAACGGCGUCUAAUACUGGAUAUGUGACGUGACCGCAUGGUCUGCGUCUGGAAAGAAUUUCGGUUGGGGAUGGGCUCGCGGCCUAUCAGCUUGUUGGUGAGGUAAUGGCUCACCAAGGCGUCGACGGGUAGCCGGCCUGAGAGGGUGACCGGCCACACUGGGACUGAGACACGGCCCAGACUCCUACGGGAGGCAGCAGUGGGGAAUAUUGCACAAUGGGCGCAAGCCUGAUGCAGCAACGCCGCGUGAGGGACGACGGCCUUCGGGUUGUAAACCUCUUUUAGCAGGGAAGAAGCGAAA